GCGCCUCGUGAAUUCAUCUCCGGGGGUAGAGCACUGUUUCGGCAAGGGGGUCAUCCCGACUUACCAACCCGAUGCAAACUGCGAAUACCGGAGAAUGUUAUCACGGGAGACACACGGCGGGUGCUAACGUCCGUCGUGAAGAGGGAAACAACCCAGACCGCCAGCUAAGGUCCCAAAGUCAUGGUUAAGUGGGAAACGAUGUGGGAAGGCCCAGACAGCCAGGAUGUUGGCUUAGAAGCAGCCAUCAUUUAAAGAAAGCGUAAUAGCUCACUGGUCGAGUCGGCCUGCGCGGAAGAUGUAACGGGGCUAAACCAUGCACCGAAGCUGCGGCAGCGACGCUUAUGCGUUGUUGGGUAGGGGAGCGUUCUGUAAGCCUGUGAAGGUGUGCUGUGAGGCAUGCUGGAGGUAUCAGAAGUGCGAAUGCUGACAUAAGUAACGAUAAAGCGGGUGAAAAGCCCGCUCGCCGGAAGACCAAGGGUUCCUGUCCAACGUUAAUCGGGGCAGGGUGAGUCGACCCCUAAGGCGAGGCCGAAAGGCGUAGUCGAUGGGAAACAGGUUAAUAUUCCUGUACUUGGUGUUACUGCGAAGGGGGGACGGAGAAGGCUAUGUUGGCCGGGCGACGGUUGUCCCGGUUUAAGCGUGUAGGCUGGUUUUCCAGGCAAAUCCGGAAAAUCAAGGCUGAGGCGUGAUGACGAGGCACUACGGUGCUGAAGCAACAAAUGCCCUGCUUCCAGGAAAAGCCUCUAAGCAUCAGGUAACAUCAAAUCGUACCCCAAACCGACACAGGUGGUCAGGUAGAGAAUACCAAGGCGCUUGAGAGAACUCGGGUGAAGGAACUAGGCAAAAUGGUGCCGUAACUUCGGGAGAAGGCACGCUGAUAUGUAGGUGAAGCGACUUGCUCGUGGAGCUGAAAUCAGUCGAAGAUACCAGCUGGCUGCAACUGUUUAUUAAAAACACAGCACUGUGCAAACACGAAAGUGGACGUAUACGGUGUGACGCCUGCCCGGUGCCGGAAGGUUAAUUGAUGGGGUCAGCGCAAGCGAAGCUCUUGAUCGAAGCCCCGGUAAACGGCGGCCGUAACUAUAACGGUCCUAAGGUAGCGAAAUUCCUUGUCGGGUAAGUUCCGACCUGCACGAAUGGCGUAAUGAUGGCCAGGCUGUCUCCACCCGAGACUCAGUGAAAUUGAACUCGCUGUGAAGAUGCAGUGUACCCGCGGCAAGACGGAAAGACCCCGUGAACCUUUACUAUAGCUUGACACUGAACAUUGAGCCUUGAUGUGUAGGAUAGGUGGGAGGCUUAGAAGUGUGGACGCCAGUCUGCAUGGAGCCGACCUUGAAAUACCACCCUUUAAUGUUUGAUGUUCUAACGUUGACCCGUAAUCCGGGUUGCGGACAGUGUCUGGUGGGUAGUUUGACUGGGGCGGUCUCCUCCUAAAGAGUAACGGAGGAGCACGAAGGUUGGCUAAUCCUGGUCGGACAUCAGGAGGUUAGUGCAAUGGCAUAAGCCAGCUUGACUGCGAGCGUGACGGCGCGAGCAGGUGCGAAAGCAGGUCAUAGUGAUCCGGUGGUUCUGAAUGGAAGGGCCAUCGCUCAACGGAUAAAAGGUACUCCGGGGAUAACAGGCUGAUACCGCCCAAGAGUUCAUAUCGACGGCGGUGUUUGGCACCUCGAUGUCGGCUCAUCACAUCCUGGGGCUGAAGUAGGUCCCAAGGGUAUGGCUGUUCGCCAUUUAAAGUGGUACGCGAGCUGGGUUUAGAACGUCGUGAGACAGUUCGGUCCCUAUCUGCCGUGGGCGCUGGAGAACUGAGGGGGGCUGCUCCUAGUACGAGAGGACCGGAGUGGACGCAUCACUGGUGUUCGGGUUGUCAUGCCAAUGGCACUGCCCGGUAGCUAAAUGCGGAAGAGAUAAGUGCUGAAAGCAUCUAAGCACGAAACUUGCCCCGAGAUGAGUUCUCCCUGACCCUUUAAGGGUCCUGAAGGAACGUUGAAGACGACGACGUUGAUAGGCC
This 2008-nucleotide ribosomal RNA is filed under the name Escherichia coli. RNAcentral describes it as "partial 23S ribosomal RNA". It matches the Rfam family "Bacterial large subunit ribosomal RNA", at positions 877 to 2862 of the family's 2925-position model. The record is from RNAcentral. Lineage: Bacteria; Pseudomonadati; Pseudomonadota; Gammaproteobacteria; Enterobacterales; Enterobacteriaceae.